RNAcentral lists this long non-coding RNA (1279 nucleotides) under Brassica napus (rape). RNAcentral describes it as "long non-coding RNA (BNAP_LNC023502)". The record is from RNAcentral. Lineage: Eukaryota; Viridiplantae; Streptophyta; Magnoliopsida; Brassicales; Brassicaceae.
UGGUUUCAUAUAAAAGCAGAUAGAAACAUCUAAUCUUAGGUUGAUCAAGACAAGAACACUUUGGUUCUCAGACAAGAAACGACACUUAGCAUUCUAAACAGUAGUAAGCAAACAAAACCCAGAAAAAGAGUUAGAAAAAAGCUUACGAGAUGGGUUCGAGAGAGAGCUGGGUUCGAGAAAGAGCUGGGUUCGAGAUGGGUUCGAGAGAGAGCUAGGUUCGAGCUGGGUUCGAGAGAGAGCUGGGUUCGAGGUGGGUUCGAGAGAGAGCUGGGUUCGAGCUGGGUUCGAGAUCGAGAGAUCGGUUUGCGUCUGGAGAAGAGAGAGAGAUGCGUUGGAGAUCGAGAGAGAGAGAGAGAGCUUCAGAUGGGUUUGUGUCGGAGAGCUCGUAAUGGAAAUCGAGAGAGAUGGAGAGAGAGAUCCAAGAAACGACACUUAGCAUUCUAAACAGUAGUAAGCAAACAAAACCCAGAAAAAGAGUUAGAAAAAAGCUUACGAGAUGGGUUCGAGAGAGAGCUGGGUUCGAGAAAGAGCUGGGUUCGAGAUGGGUUCGAGAGAGAGCUAGGUUCGAGCUGGGUUCGAGAGAGAGCUGGGUUCGAGGUGGGUUCGAGAGAGAGCUGGGUUCGAGCUGGGUUCGAGAUCGAGAGAUCGGUUUGCGUCUGGAGAAGAGAGAGAGAUGCGUUGGAGAUCGAGAGAGAGAGAGAGAGCUUCAGAUGGGUUUGUGUCGGAGAGCUCGUAAUGGAAAUCGAGAGAGAUGGAGAGAGAGAUCGAGAGAGAUGGAGAGAGAGAUCGAGAGAGAUCGAGAGAGCUCAAGUACAGUGCUUGACGCAGCUUCUACGGGAGGAGGAGAGAGCGGCUGCGUCUAUUAGGGUUGAGUAUUUUUUGUAAAUAAUGAAUUGUGUUAAGGGCUAAAAUGUAAAUAAGUAAAUAGACGCAGAAUAUUAGUUAAAAUCGCUGAUUUUAUCCGCGUCCAAAUUUUGAUUGCCGCAAGACGCAGCGUCUAGACGCAGACGCAGACGCGGAUGGCUGCGGCAAUCAAACGAACAAGAUUAUUGCCGCAGCCGCAGCCGCAAGAACCUGCGUCAAUGAAACGAACAGCCCUAUUGAUAUGAAUUUUUGAAGUUAACUAGGGGUAUCUAAGUCCAAAUCCGACCAAAAAAUGAUUUAUGGUAUAGGGAUAAUGUAGUUGUUUUGGCAAUUUUUCUAUAUAUAACGAAGCUCAAAAUCGCAGCAAAAUCGUAGCUUGGCGACAUAUUUGACACUAUUCGAAACAUAGGGUCCG